RNAcentral lists this ribosomal RNA (274 nucleotides) under uncultured bacterium. RNAcentral's name for it is "partial 16S ribosomal RNA". It matches the Rfam family "Bacterial small subunit ribosomal RNA", at positions 523 to 796 of the family's 1533-position model. The record is from RNAcentral.
AUACGGAGGGUGCAAGCGUUACUCGGAAUCACUGGGCGUAAAGCGCGCGCAGGCGGCUAUUUAAGUUGGAUGUGAAAGCCUACGGCUCAACCGUAGAACUGCAUCCAAAACUAUUUAGCUAGAGUGUGAGAGAGGAAGAUGGAAUUAGUUGUGUAGGGGUAAAAUCCGUAGAGAUAACUAGGAAUACCAAAAGCGAAGGCAAUCUUCUGGAACACUACUGACGCUGAGGCGCGAAAGCGUGGGGAGCAAACGGAAUUAGAUACCCUAGUAGUCC